CUUACCAUGCAAGUUCGAACGAGGCACCUUGAUUUGAUUCUUCGGAUGAAGAUCCUGGUGACUGAGUGGCGGACGGGUGAGUAACGCGUGGGUAACCUGCCUCAUACAGGGGGAUAACAGUUAGAAAUGACUGCUAAUACCGCAUAAGACCACAGCACCGCAUGGUGCAGGGGUAAAAACUCCGGUGGUAUGAGAUGGACCCGCGUCUGAUUAGGUAGUUGGUGGGGUAACGGCCUACCAAGCCAACGAUCAGUAGCCGACCUGAGAGGGUGACCGGCCACAUUGGGACUGAGACACGGCCCAAACUCCUACGGGAGGCAGCAGUGGGGAAUAUUGCACAAUGGGGGAAACCCUGAUGCAGCGACGCCGCGUGAGCGAUGAAGUAUUUCGGUAUGUAAAGCUCUAUCAGCAGGGAAGAAAAUGACGGUACCUGACUAAGAAGCACCGGCUAAAUACGUGCCAGCAGCCGCGGUAAUACGUAUGGUGCAAGCGUUAUCCGGAUUUACUGGGUGUAAAGGGAGCGUAGACGGAGUGGCAAGUCUGAUGUGAAAACCCGGGGCUCAACCCCGGGACUGCAUUGGAAACUGUCAAUCUGGAGUACCGGAGAGGUAAGCGGAAUUCCUAGUGUAGCGGUGAAAUGCGUAGAUAUUAGGAGGAACACCAGUGGCGAAGGCGGCUUACUGGACGGUAACUGACGUUGAGGCUCGAAAGCGUGGGGAGCAAACAGGAUUAGAUACCCUGGUAGUCCACGCCGUAAACGAUGACUACUAGGUGUCGGGCAGCAAAGCUGUUCGGUGCCGCAGCAAACGCAAUAAGUAGUCCACCUGGGGGAGUACGUUCGCAAGAAUGAAACUCAAAGGAAUUGACGGGGAACCCGCACAAGCGGUGGAGCAUGUGGUUUAAUUUCNAAGCAACGCGAAAAACCUUACCUGCUCUUGAACAUCUUCCCUGACCGGCAAGGUAAUGUUGCCUUUCCUUUCGGACAGGGAUGACAGGGGGUGCCUUGGUUGUCCUUCAGCU
Molecule: ribosomal RNA, 1020 nt
Filed under: uncultured Ruminococcus sp.
Lineage: Bacteria; Bacillati; Bacillota; Clostridia; Eubacteriales; Oscillospiraceae
Description: bacterial SSU rRNA
Rfam family: Bacterial small subunit ribosomal RNA
Source: RNAcentral